Molecule: long non-coding RNA, 1049 nt
Filed under: Numida meleagris (helmeted guineafowl)
Lineage: Eukaryota; Metazoa; Chordata; Aves; Galliformes; Numididae
Description: lncRNA (ENSNMEG00000008024.1)
Source: RNAcentral
UGGAAGGUGAUGUGCUGAUCCUACAGCAGGCACAACCCGAGAACUGAAAAUGCAGGUCUGAUCACAGAGAAUGUCAGGCGCAACAAGCACAGUGAAUCCUUCAAGCCCAUCCACAGUUUUUAGGUUAUGUUUUUUAUUCUGAACAGGCUUUUUCAGAAUGGUCAGCAGUUAUAAUUGGGCUUGCAUCAGUGUAACAGCAAACAUAGCCACGAGUGUUUUGAAAUACUAGGCAGUCAGAAGAGAAUGUUUUCCUCCUUUGCAACAAGCCUAGCUGUAAUGCUGCUGUGGGAGCAGAGGCAGUCCUGGAGCUCCUGCCGCUGCUACCUGGCUGUAAGCUGCUUAAGGCUGUGAAAUGCUGGUAAUGCUUUUUAAAACAAACUUAAUAAAAAGCAACAGGCAGUUAUCUGGAUUCAUCUUAAAAAAGAGAACUCCUCAUAAAGCUUUCCUUUGAGAACAGAGAAAAAUUUGAAAAUUUCCUGUUGCUUUUAAGUAUGCCUCCAACAAAAGAGAGGAACUGGAAGAAGUUAGAUGCAGUAUAACAGAGGAUUAUUGUGACACUGUUAAUCGGAUAUGUUUGCCAGUUCAGUGUUGCAGAGAGUUGAGUGGUAUUUCAACCCCACCUGUGCUUUCCUCCCUAAAAGAGCAUUUCACAAGGGGACUCAGUGGACUGCUCCUACAGCAGCAGCCACAGCAGAGGUACCACGCAGCGUGUGAGGCAGACCAGGAGUGUGUGUGGUCAGACGCUAGCAGAAGGAAACAGACGACUUCACUCAGCAGUUAGCAUAGGUAAUGGCUGCUUUUCCCUGAGAUCCCUCUGCCCUUUGGGCAGCUUUUUUCUCUAUAUUUUGGAGGAGGUGUGAGAGGAGGGGGGGGAUGCUGCUGCUGAACGUUGAAUGCAAAGCACUUGGCUGUGAUAGGCUGAAGGGACGGGGGGUACUCUGCCUAUAUAUACUGGCAGCUGCAUCCUCUGUGCUCUACAGCUGUCACAGAGGAGGAAGGAGAGGCAGUGAGAGACAGAGGGGAAGGAAAGACCUCAUCAACUCCCUAUG